UCUCCGUUGGUGAACCAGCGGAGGGAUCAUUACCGUGUUUACAACUCCCAAACCCAAUGUGAGCCAUACCAAACUGUUGCCUCGGCGGGGUCACGCCCCGGGUGCGUCGCAGCCCCGGAACCAGGCGCCCGCCGGAGGGACCAACCAAACUCUUUCUGUAGUCCCCUCGCGGACGUUAUUUCUUACAGCUCUGAGCAAAAAUUCAAAAUGAAUCAAAACUUUCAACAACGGAUCUCUUGGUUCUGGCAUCGAUGAAGAACGCGC
RNAcentral lists this unclassified non-coding RNA (264 nucleotides) under plant metagenome. RNAcentral's name for it is "partial contains small subunit ribosomal RNA, internal transcribed spacer 1, and 5.8S ribosomal RNA". The stretch from base 217 to 264 matches the Rfam family "5.8S ribosomal RNA", at positions 1 to 48 of the family's 154-position model. The record is from RNAcentral.